Molecule: long non-coding RNA, 1298 nt
Filed under: Apteryx rowi (Okarito brown kiwi)
Lineage: Eukaryota; Metazoa; Chordata; Aves; Apterygiformes; Apterygidae
Description: lncRNA (ENSARWG00000000981.1)
Source: RNAcentral
CUUAGCCAGCCUCCACCUCACUCCUGUUAGUCACUCCUGGUCUCUCUCCUGCUUGCCAAGAAUGGUCAGCCCUUUCCCCACCACUGCCUCCCUUUCUGCAAUGGUUCCUUUCUCCCCUGGAUAGGGGGCAUGGACAUCUUUUCCAAGGGGUGACAAAAAGGAGGACAGACUUUCACAGGGGAACCAGAUGGUCCCAGGGAGCCCAUCCUGCCUGGGCUUUUGUGCAAUUCCGGAAGUGCACGACACGGUGCCUGUUCGUUCCUUCCUCAGGGGGACAUCGAGAUCAGUCAUACCAACUGCUGUAAGAGUUGGUCUGGCAUCUUCAGACUACCUGACAACUUUCACAGACUGUUCUUUAACCCACUCUGCUGGAGUAAGUCUGCUCAGCCUCUCCUUAUAUUCAGGGUGCAGAAAACCAGCGUCAUUUCAUACAACAGAUUCAGCAACAAAAGAAACUUUUCUGUCAAAACGGCAAACGGACUGCUAACGACGGGCUACAGUCUUUACUGUGGCUGCAUCUGUUGAAACUGGGGGUGUAGAGAGGGAGAAGUGUGACUUACACUAUCGGAGCUUGCUGCUGAACUCACUGGUGUUACUUGUGUGAGGUAAAGCUAAGUAUAUGUAUAAGCCUCAUGACUGGAAUUGAGUACGAGUAUAUGCCUCAAGACUGGGAUUUUUCCAUUAGCCAUUUAGAUCUGCAGAUAUUUGGGAUCACCAGAUCCUCCUCUCUUUUCAGUUUUUCAAAACUUAACACUCCAAAGCUGACAAAUACAACUUUUCUAUUGGAUAAUCCAUAUGUGCUUUUUCUUUCAUCCUUUUGUUUUCUGAUGCUUCUGUUUUCAAGCAUUUGAUUGUGUUUUCUCACUUCUAUUCCACAUUUCUGUUCUAUUUUGAAAUCCUCUCAUUUAGGUUUCAUUCUAAUUCUUCUUCUAAUGCUAAUAUCUCACAAAUCUUUUUCUCUUUCCAGUGCAGUUAUCUGUCUUUCUCAACAGAUAUCACACAUGCUUUCUCCUGCUUCCAGAUAUCAGCACUUUUAUUCUUGAUUUCCAAGUGAUGAUACAAGGUUAAAUGGAUUAAUUCCAUGUGAUUAUAUAUAAUUGCCAAGUUGACAAAAAGCAGACAUUAUAUGCCAAGUUUGCCUUUGAAAUAUUAUCCUUAAUAUAAAACCAACUGUUAUCUACUACAUACAAUCACCAGAUUAUUGAAGGAUGUUGGUAGAAAGGACAAAAGAAUUGGGGAUGGGUGUCUCAAAAGCAGCAGAAGACAUCUUCCCAAAAUCAAGAACCGUCAGGUUGCUG